Molecule: ribosomal RNA, 253 nt
Filed under: uncultured bacterium
Lineage: Bacteria
Description: partial 16S ribosomal RNA
Rfam family: Bacterial small subunit ribosomal RNA
Source: RNAcentral
UACGUAGGGCGCGAGCGUUGUCCGGAAUUAUUGGGCGUAAAGAGCUCGUAGGCGGUUUGUCGCGUCGGUUGUGAAAACCCAAGGCUCAACCUUGGGCCUGCAAUCGAUACGGGCAGACUAGAGUACUGCAGGGGAGACUGGAAUUCCUGGUGUAGCGGUGGAAUGCGCAGAUAUCAGGAGGAACACCGGUGGCGAAGGCGGGUCUCUGGGCCGGAACUGACGCUGAGGAGCGAAAGCGUGGGGAGCGAACAGG